UAGGACCACUGAAACUUGUUGUGUUGC
RNAcentral lists this non-coding RNA (27 nucleotides) under Homo sapiens (human). The record is from RNAcentral. Lineage: Eukaryota; Metazoa; Chordata; Mammalia; Primates; Hominidae.